Molecule: long non-coding RNA, 581 nt
Organism: Homo sapiens (human)
Lineage: Eukaryota; Metazoa; Chordata; Mammalia; Primates; Hominidae
Source: Ensembl
UGGCGUCCCUGUCUGCAGCGCCGCGUCUGUCGACUUGUCCACGCCCGUGUUUUCCUGCCGUAAGAGGUUGCGCCUGAACUUGGCUCGGGCGUUCUGGAACCAGACCUGCGGGGGACGACAGGGAAGGGCUGGUGAGCGGAAGGCAGGCAGAGCAUCCCCCCGACUGCUUCACUCAGAGCUCUGCUGCCUCUGGGGACGCUGAUCUGUGUUUUGCCAAGAGGAUCCAAAAAGUCAGAGACGGGGUCUUGCAAUGUUGACCAGGCUGGUCUCAAACUCCAGGCUUCAAGUGAUCCCUCCUGCCUCAGCCUCCUAAAGCGUUGGGAUUACAGAUGUGGUUCCAGAGCUGAGCUGUACUCCCGAAUAUCACAGCCACGAGCCACGUAUGGCUGCUGAGCACUUAAAAUGGCAUUAGCCCAAAUUCAACCAGUCUGCAGGUGAAAACACACAACCUAUCUGAAGGCUGAAUAUGAAAAAAAAAGCAGGUAGAAUAUCUCAAUAAUUUUUAUAUUGAUUACAUGUCGAAAUGAUUAAUAGUUUGGCUAUACUGAGUUAAGCAAAAUACAUUAUUAAAAUUAAUUUUA